RNAcentral lists this ribosomal RNA (155 nucleotides) under Candidatus Portiera aleyrodidarum (primary endosymbiont of Bemisia tabaci). Its description in RNAcentral is "partial 16S ribosomal RNA". It matches the Rfam family "Bacterial small subunit ribosomal RNA", at positions 1 to 139 of the family's 1533-position model. The record is from RNAcentral. Lineage: Bacteria; Pseudomonadati; Pseudomonadota; Gammaproteobacteria; Johnevansiales (SeqCode); Johnevansiaceae (SeqCode).
GAAUUGAAGAGUUUGAUCAUGGCUCAGAUUGAACGCUGGCGGCAGGCCUAACACAUGCAAGUCGAGCGGAAACGGCAGUAUUGAAGCUUCGGUGGAUUUACUGGACGUCGAGCGGCGGACGGGUGAGUAACGGCUGGGAACCUGCCCUGACGAGG